RNAcentral lists this ribosomal RNA (468 nucleotides) under Escherichia coli. RNAcentral describes it as "bacterial SSU rRNA". It matches the Rfam family "Bacterial small subunit ribosomal RNA", at positions 128 to 591 of the family's 1533-position model. The record is from RNAcentral. Lineage: Bacteria; Pseudomonadati; Pseudomonadota; Gammaproteobacteria; Enterobacterales; Enterobacteriaceae.
GCCUGAUGGAGGGGGAUAACUACUGGAAACGGUAGCUAAUACCGCAUAAUGUCGCAAGACCAAAGAGGGGGACCUUCGGGCCUCUUGCCAUCGGAUGUGCCCAGAUGGGAUUAGCUUGUUGGUGGGGUAACGGCUCACCAAGGCGACGAUCCCUAGCUGGUCUGAGAGGAUGACCAGCCACACUGGAACUGAGACACGGUCCAGACUCCUACGGGAGGCAGCAGUGGGGAAUAUUGCACAAUGGGCGCAAGCCUGAUGCAGCCAUGCCGCGUGUAUGAAGAAGGCCUUCGGGUUGUAAAGUACUUUCAGCGGGGAGGAAGGGAGUAAAGUUAAUACCUUUGCUCAUUGACGUUACCCGCAGAAGAAGCACCGGCUAACUCCGUGCCAGCAGCCGCGGUAAUACGGAGGGUGCAAGCGUUAAUCGGAAUUACUGGGCGUAAAGCGCACGCAGGCGGUUUGUUAAGUCAG